Molecule: non-coding RNA, 384 nt
Organism: Anas platyrhynchos (mallard)
Lineage: Eukaryota; Metazoa; Chordata; Aves; Anseriformes; Anatidae
Source: RefSeq, a predicted model, not a curated record
GUCUGGAGCUGUCCUGCCUGGCAGUUAGUGAUGACAGUAGAGCGUAAACCUUUGGAGGAACCUGUCACAGGAAAGAGCUCCUUCUGGAACUGUUCAGCACUCGGGAGGCAACUGGGUGACUGGCUUGAUCUACUUCUGAGGUGCUGAGGCAAGGAGGCUGCUGUUUUGAAACGAUAGUAUUCUGAAACACAGUGUACGACACGGGACUUGACGACCAGAGCUGCUUUUGGCAAGGUGCCAUGGCAGGCUCUCUAGAGAAGUGGUUGAGGAUUGGAGAAGAGGUUGCAGAUGAUCAAGGAGCGACACGUGCAGGGAUGGCUUGAAAAGGGUAUGGCUGCUUUUCUCUUCUGUUUAUCAGGUGUCCCAGGCAAUGUGGGCUGUGGU